CGGGCGCAAGCCCGUAAAUAUGCACCCCGCGACGGUUGCCGUUCGCUGCUUGCAUGGCGCGGUUCUCGGCGUUCGACCGCGUUUCAUGGUCAACCGUCAAGCGGCUGCUGGAUGCCGAUUGCGAGCCGCGCGGGGUGCCCUCAUGAACUCUGAAGAGC
This 158-nucleotide non-coding RNA is filed under the name unclassified sequences. The record is from Rfam.